GGCACCUUUGUAUGCAAAGAAGAGGUUGACGAAGCAGCGAGGCUACUACGGCUGUUGGACGCGGACCACCUGUUCAAAAGCCAAGCGCUCCGACACCCAUCCAUUUAUGGCUCGCCAAGCAGCGAUGGAAAGGUGGGCCAGCGUUUUCAGCCUCAUGGUCCUGUGCCUCGUUGUCACCUGCGCGGCAUCUCCGCAGAGGAAACGAGGCGAAGCUGUGCUCAGACCGAUGGCAGGCGGGCGUGUUGUAGUGCAUGCGGCAUCGCCGCUGCCAGAGACGGCGUACGUGAAGCAGCGCCCCUUCAAGGACUCGCUGCGCGUGAAGAAGAACGGCGGUGCCGAACGCUUUUUCGACAAGGACGUCGACGCCUUCUUUGUGAACAACGAUUGAAUCGUGUUCCACACCGAUGUGCGUCGUGCCACGACGCCUAAUGAGCAAUGAAAAAUUUCAAUAAAAGUCAACAGUGACAGCCUCAGAAA
Molecule: long non-coding RNA, 477 nt
Organism: Dermacentor albipictus
Lineage: Eukaryota; Metazoa; Arthropoda; Arachnida; Ixodida; Ixodidae
Source: RefSeq, a predicted model, not a curated record